This is a non-coding RNA of Cinara cedri, 460 nucleotides long. The record is from the annotation of a GenBank genome assembly. NCBI's taxonomy places the organism in Eukaryota, Metazoa, Arthropoda, Insecta, Hemiptera, Aphididae.
UUUAUAACUCUGUAUGAGUUUUAGCCAUUGCAGUUAGUGCUCUCCAACUGCCACGUUUCUACAUCAUUUUCUCCCUGUUAGUUGCUUCCAAUCUCUCUAGGUCUUGUCAUAUGCCAUCCAUACAUUCCUUUCUAGUUGCCGUUCAAUGGUUGCUCUAGCUUUGUCUGUUACUUUCCUUCAUUUUAUGUGGCCAAACAACUUUAGUUUCUGUUCCUUCACACAACUUGUUAUAACGGGUAUUUUUGUCGUUUGUCUAAUCUUCGCGUUCUUUCUUCUUCGCCAGCAGUUUAUCACUAUAUCAUUUACGGGUCCGCAUAUCGUUCUUAACACUUUGUUCUCAAAGUUCCUCAGUUUUUGUUCAACUCUUGCUUUAUAUCUGUAGGUAAUCGCCGUGUACAGCCGUAUUAGUGUACCUCUAGAGAAAAUAAAGACGGUAAAAGACCAGCAAGAAUAUUUGUAU